Molecule: ribosomal RNA, 529 nt
Filed under: Cellulomonas iranensis
Lineage: Bacteria; Bacillati; Actinomycetota; Actinomycetes; Micrococcales; Cellulomonadaceae
Description: bacterial SSU rRNA
Rfam family: Bacterial small subunit ribosomal RNA
Source: RNAcentral
AGCCUGAUGCAGCGACGCCGCGUUGAGGGAUGACCGCCUUCGGGUUGUAAACCUCUUUCAGCAGGGAAGAAGCGCAAGUGACGGUACCUGCAGAAGAAGCGCCGGCUAACUACGUGCCAGCAGCCGCGGUAAUACGUAGGGCGCAAGCGUUGUCCGGAAUUAUUGGGCGUAAAGAGCUCGUAGGCGGUUUGUCGCGUCUGCUGUGAAAACCUCAGGCUCAACCUGGGGCUUGCAGUGGGUACGGGCAGACUAGAGUGCGGUAGGGGUGACUGGAAUUCCUGGUGUAGCGGUGGAAUGCGCAGAUAUCAGGAGGAACACCGAUGGCGAAGGCAGGUCACUGGGCCGCAACUGACGCUGAGGAGCGAAAGCAUGGGGAGCGAACAGGAUUAGAUACCCUGGUAGUCCAUGCCGUAAACGUUGGGCACUAGGUGUGGGGUCCAUUCCACGGAUUCCGUGCCGCAGCAAACGCAUUAAGUGCCCCGCCUGGGGAGUACGGCCGCAAGGCUAAAACUCAAACAAUUGGACCGGG